GGCAGCAAACUCGCGAGAGCUAGCAAAUCCCAUAAACCGUGGCUCAGUUCAGAUCGUAGGCUGCAACUCGCNUACGUGAAGUAGGAAUCGCUAGUAAUCGCAGGUCAGCAUACUGCGGUGAAUACGUUCCCGGGCCUUGUACACACCGCCCGUCACACCAUGGAAGUUGGCCAUGCCCGAAGUCGUUACUCCAACCCUUGUGGAGGAGGACGCCGAAGGUGGGGCUAAUGACUGGGGUGAAGUCGUAACAAGGUAGCCGUACCGGAAGGUGCGGCUGGAUCACCUCCUAACAGGGAGACAACAAAAUGUUUAAUAUUAUUAUUUUGUCACCUUAGGUCGAUCGGUAUCUCACGUUCUUAAUUUUUAAGAAUUUCAUUUCCUAAGUUUUUCUAGGUCACACCCAUUAUUUUUCCUGGGCCAUUAGCUCAGGUGGUUAGAGCGCACCCCUGAUAAGGGUGAGGUCCCUGGUUCAAGUCCAGGAUGGCCCAUAUCUCUAUGUUGGGGGUAUAGCUCAGUUGGUAGAGCGCCUGCUUUGCAAGCAGGAUGUCAGCGGUUCGAGUCCGCUUACCUCCACUGAUUACCACCUCUUCCAUAACCGGUAUUAAGGAAAUGUUUUGCGUUGUGAUCAUUAUUCUGAACGAAUCUAGCUUCCUAAUGAAAUCAUUAAGAUGCUGGACUCAUUGAAUUAAUUUCAUUGUUUUCAGAGAACCUUGACAACUGCAUAGAUUAUUUUAAAGACAAUAAGCAUCUUUAAUGAUGCAGAUUUAUUAUUUGUGCGAAUGCAUUAAUAACAAUUCUAUUAAGCUGAUGCUUCAAUUUUUGAAGUUAUUGGUCAAGCUACAAAGGGCUCACGGAGGAUACCUAGGCACACAGAGGCGAUGAAGGACGUGGUUACCUGCGAUAAGUCUCGGGGAG
RNAcentral lists this unclassified non-coding RNA (915 nucleotides) under uncultured bacterium. RNAcentral's name for it is "partial contains 16S ribosomal RNA, 16S-23S ribosomal RNA intergenic spacer". The stretch from base 1 to 290 matches the Rfam family "Bacterial small subunit ribosomal RNA", at positions 1245 to 1533 of the family's 1533-position model. The record is from RNAcentral.